AAUAAAUCAAUUUUUCAUUUUUUAUCUUUAAUUUUUGACUCUUCAUUUUAUUUAAUUUUUUUGCGAUUGAUAUUUUUAUCUUUAUUAGAUGAUAAAUUAUGAAUAGUACUUUACGUGUGACUAAUUUUUUUUCUAAUUUUUUAAAUUUUUUUAAAUUAAAUGGAUGAUCAAACUUUAGACACGGAAGCCGAAACGGAAGCCGAAG
This 205-nucleotide microRNA precursor is filed under the name Oryza brachyantha (malo sina). Its description in RNAcentral is "MIR812 microRNA precursor family". It matches the Rfam family "MIR812 microRNA precursor family". The record is from Rfam by way of RNAcentral. Lineage: Eukaryota; Viridiplantae; Streptophyta; Magnoliopsida; Poales; Poaceae.